This is a non-coding RNA of Oncorhynchus mykiss (rainbow trout), 1073 nucleotides long. The record is from RefSeq and is a predicted model, not a curated record. Lineage: Eukaryota; Metazoa; Chordata; Actinopteri; Salmoniformes; Salmonidae.
AUGUUGAUAGAUGUAAAUAAACAAGAGUUUUUUUAAGAGAAAAAACAAACAAAAAAAUGAGAAAAUAAGUAAAAGGAGGAACAAAUUAUAAGGAAGCCAGGCAUGAGGGUGAAGAGGAGGAAACAUGAGAGAGGAGGAAGAGAGACCAGAGUGGUUUAUCAGGAGGGAAGUAGGAGAUAUAGAAUUCAAGUUCUGAUGGACAGAAUCAGGAAGGACCAUGGGAUAAAAGGUCAAGUUAAAGUUGCUUUGGCUUCCUUUUGUCCUCUUUCUAAGCCUGUUCAAGUCUGAGAUAGAUGAAAAGAGCAGCCAAAGAAACAUCUGUUGAAGCAUCUAUUGGAAAGGAUGGGAGGGUUGGAGGAGGAGCACAGCUGGAUGACUUCAUUAGAUUGUGGCAUAUGAGGUCUCUUUAUCUGUUGAAGCAUCAAUAGGAAAGGAUGAAAGGGAGGGAGGCAGGAAGAGGAAAACACAGAAGAGCAGGUGAGGAGCACUCUAUGUUCUGCUUCCAUGUGGAUUGACAGCAUUGCUUUCAUGAGCUUCUGGAGGACACCAUGGAGGAAGAGGGAGAGGGUCUAUGAUAGGCAGUUUGCCAUGGCCCUAAAUGGGCCUUUGGAUGUUAAUUCUUCAUGCUUUAUAUCAUACAACUUUACAAUAAAAAUGAAUUGCAAGCAUCAGCCUCUUCUGUUGUGUGAUCAGUGCAGUAGUAGUAAGAAUGGUGUAAACCCAAGGAAUAUUCUGGCAGUAGUGUUCAGUUGGUAUAAAAUAGUGUGAUAAGAAAUUAUCAACAUCGUAUGAAAACAAUAUGGAGAUAGAAAUAUCAAAAGAAGUGUUACAUUUACUUAGUAAUAUCAAUUUUUCCCCUCAUAGAGAACGAUGUCCUUGUUGUGCGCACACACACCCACACCCACAGAGAGUUAGUCAUGAUUUCCCUGAGUCAUCAGACUCUGGUGAAGGUUUCUUUGCAUCUUGAGCAGUCCGUGUUGUAUCCUUGCCGGACUCAUCUAUAACAAUCUCGAAGGCCGCCUCUUCUUCUACCCUCUUCACUUUCUCCCCUUUCGCUGCAAGGAUUUCCUCAA